Long non-coding RNA from Strigops habroptila (Kakapo), 766 nucleotides. RefSeq lists it as uncharacterized. The record is from RefSeq and is a predicted model, not a curated record. The transcript is spliced from 4 exons. Lineage: Eukaryota; Metazoa; Chordata; Aves; Psittaciformes; Psittacidae.
CCCCGUAGAAGUUUUUUUCUUUAGAAACAGCAACAUUCUGAAGAAGAAUUUUAUAAGAUAAUUUUAUGGUAUGGUAACUGAGCUGACAUUUCUUUGUGCCUUAGGAAAUAUUUUUGUGACUGAGCUGAGUUCAUAUACACCGAAACCUUCCCUAACAAUCAUCUGCCUAUCUAGUCUGGGCUAAAAUCCCUUUAGUGGUGAGAAUUCCACCACCUUCUUAUCUAGGUUGGGCAUGUGCUUCUCUGUCCUUACACCUAGGAAACCUUUUCCCAAUUUCUCAGCUAAAUCUUCAUGGCUUCAGACUGAAACGAUUAUUUCUCAUCCUGCUUGUGGUGGACAUGGAGGAAACUGAUCACGAGCCUAACUAUAACAUCUUUCUGUUUCCAUCUCACUGAUGACCCUCAUUCUGCCUUUGGCCUUCUCCAGCCUGCAGUACUGGGCUGUAGUGCUGCUGUCUGUCCAGCUCCAGCUCUUUCCCUGCCAAUGCCUCCGGCCCUCUUCUUUGCUACUGCUUUUCUGCAGACUCACAGCACCACCCAGAACCUGCUGACAGCACCACCAAAUGAGGCAGCAGCGAGACCCCACUGCUUUCAGGUAAACCUGAGCUGUAGCCAAUGUGACGUGGUACUGCAGAGCCUUGUGUCUCCAGGAGAAAAAGUCCAGAGGACGAGGGCUGGAAAACUGCAAAGGUAUACCUGGAGAAGAUAAAGGAAAAAGUGAUGUGAGCACAUUUAAGAAAUGUGAUUUAUUUGAACAGUCCAACUGA